GCCGGGCGUGAUGGCUCACGCCUGUAAUCCAAGCACUUGGGAGGCCAAGGCGGGUGGAUCACCUGAGGUCGGGAGUUCAAGACCAGCCGGACCAACAUGGUGAAACUCCGUCUUUA
This is an unclassified non-coding RNA of Callithrix jacchus (white-tufted-ear marmoset), 116 nucleotides long. It matches the Rfam family "Metazoan signal recognition particle RNA". From Rfam's summary of the family: The signal recognition particle (SRP) is a universally conserved ribonucleoprotein. It is involved in the co-translational targeting of proteins to membranes. NCBI's taxonomy places the organism in Eukaryota, Metazoa, Chordata, Mammalia, Primates, Cebidae. The record is from Ensembl.